Molecule: ribosomal RNA, 24 nt
Filed under: Paratylenchus nanus
Lineage: Eukaryota; Metazoa; Nematoda; Chromadorea; Rhabditida; Tylenchulidae
Description: partial 28S ribosomal RNA
Source: RNAcentral
UUCGACCCGAACUCAGACGUGACA